The sequence is a ribosomal RNA, 269 nucleotides long. It matches the Rfam family "Eukaryotic large subunit ribosomal RNA", at positions 3135 to 3401 of the family's 3401-position model. The record is from Rfam.
UCAGAAUCCAUGCUGGAUAGACGAUAAUCACUUUCUGAUGUACCGCGAAUAGCGAUAGAUGUCUUUUGGGCAUCCAACAUCAUAAAAUUGCAACGCACUCGCAUUGCCUGACAAAUGUUGGUAGUGGAGAGUAUGCUGAAUUGUAAUUUCAAAUAUUGGGAAAGAUAAAUCCUUUGUAGACGACUUAAAUACAGAACGGGGUGUUGUAAGCAUGAGAGUAGUCUUGUACUACGAUCUGCUGAGAUUUAGCCCUUGUUCUAUUGAUUUGU